Molecule: long non-coding RNA, 18283 nt
Filed under: Nicotiana tabacum (common tobacco)
Lineage: Eukaryota; Viridiplantae; Streptophyta; Magnoliopsida; Solanales; Solanaceae
Description: long non-coding RNA (NTAB_LNC016013)
Source: RNAcentral
CACUUCCUUCAAACCUUGAAAUGAACACUCUCUGAACUUCAGCUCUUUGACAGCUUCUGCGACUGCACAUUUCAUGUGUGGGCCGCACUUUGCACUUGGACUCUAAUAAACUUUCCUUCACAAUCUGCGGCCACAGAUGGAAAUCUGCGGUACGCACUUUGAGCUUUUGUUCCUGAUUUUGUCCUUGAGUUCAGAUCACUCAUUCUUGAGUUUGAUUUCAUCUUAACAACUCAUAUUCCAAUACUCCUGCAAUUAAGCAUAUUUCUUUCAUUUUUGGGAAUACAAUUAAACGCGUUUGGACUAAAAUGAAAGCUAAAAGGCGCUAAUAAGUAGUCAAAAUUCCCACUUAUCAAUGACUUGCUCCAGUUCUUCCACCGUUACUUGGUGGCAUCGAAAUUAUCGGGAGCGAUAAGGAUUGAGGAAACCCGAAGUCAUCAUCAUCGUCAAUCCCUUGCUUUUCCGAUUGGGUCAAAGCUGGCAUCGAUAGUUGCUAUUGGCUUCCUGUUUCGCUUUCGAACCUGAGUCCUUCAUCGAUGAGAGUGUUGAUAUUGGAAUUACUUCAUCGAUGGAAAACAUCUCCUUCACGGCAGGUUGUUCCUGUAAACUGUCUUUAUCCCCUCUAGUGUUGGAAAUUUUAAUACCUGGUGAAAGGUCAAAGGUACGACCCUCAUGUUGUGGAUCCAUGGUCUCCCAAAUAGGGACGUUGUAUCGAAAAUCCCCCUUGAUUACAUAGAACUUGGUUUUUUGGGUAGUACCGGCAAUGUUUACCGGCAACAUUAUUUCUCCCUUCAUAGUUUCAAAAGCCAUGUUAAAUCCAUUCAGCACUCGAGCCGCAGGUACGAUCUGGUCCUGUAGGCCGAGUUGUUCUACGACCCUCAACCGAAUGAUGUUGGACGAGCUACCUGGAUUAAUUAGCACACGUUCAACUUUAGUUUUAUUUAUAAGAAUAGAAAUUACUUGUUCAUUAUUAUGAGGUUGCAUGAUUCCUUCUCUGUCCUCGUCAUUGAAAGAUAGAGUCCUUUCUGGCAAGUAAUCCCGAUUCCGUUUUUCUCUUAUGAUUGACACUUUGGUGUGUUUCAUCACGGGUUUGAGGAAGUCGACCCCUCUAAUGAUCAUAUAGAUGACGUGUUGAGUUCGUCUUGUUCAUUUUGUUUGUUUGAGUCCCUGAUUCUGAAGUGAAUCUUAGCUCGGUCACUUAGAAAUUCUCGAAGAUGACCGUUGUUGAACAACCGGGCUACUUCUUCCCUCAAUUGUCGAUAGUCCUUCGUCCCGUGGCGUGCGUGCCAUGGUAUUUACAUAUUUGGUUGGGAUCCCUUUGUGUUGGAUCAAUUUGCAAAGGUCGAGGCCACUUGAUUUCUUUGAUGCGUGAUCAGGUCCAACCUACACCUCUACAGAUUAGCAGGAGCGGUCGAUGAAGCUUUUACCCGAGAAGGUCGGGAUCGAAUCCACAGGGAACUAACGUGCAAAGCAAUUGUUUACACUUCUAAACAUGUGUUGAUGGUUCUCUAAUAUAGAUUAUCACUAAUGAUGCUGAAAUUAAGCUAAGUAUGAUAUCUUUUUGUCAGGUUUUCUUAACUUAUGGAAAGGCACUAGGGAAGUGACUUUCCCCUAGGUGAAUACUUGACUGGUUCUAAAGCCUAAGACAAAGUGGUUAUGUUUAGGAUUGCGAUAUAGCCAAUGCACGAAAUUACUCACUCUAUACCUCUCGGUAGCUUGAGUGACUUUGCCCUAAUUAGCUUUCUCAAAACCAAUUAGGUGUCAAAAUUGUCCAAGCAAUAUAGGCUCAAGUUGGGUAUUACUAUCUCUAGGUUUAACCCUUUAAUUGGGGCUAUCAAUCUCUUGAAUACGCCCCAAUUCCUUGUUGGCCUGAUUUUCCUAGACUCAAGCUCUCUUUCUCAAGAAGAGCCCAAGUCAAAAAGGCAAAAAAUUAGUGUUUGCAACUACUAAUUCAACAUGAAAAACAAAAAUCAGGUCAAAUAUCAACCACCCAUAAAUAUAAAAGCCCUAAAAGAAGAGACUCAUCAAAUAUCCACACUAGGGUUGAGCUACAACCCUAGCUAAUGGGUCUAGCUACUCAUAAUAAUAGAAGAAAUCACAUAUUGAGAUGAAGAAUAACCCAUAAAAUAUAAUUACAAGCUAAGAUUCGAAGAUUCAAUGUUAAACUAGCCAUAAAAUUACUCAAAAUAGUUUAAAACGGCGUUCACGUGCUCAGCUACAGAUGAGAUGACCUAAAAAUAUGAAAAAGAAGUAUUUAUACAAGGUCGGAUUUUCUGGACAAAAAUUCCCCUAAAAGAGGUACUGCGGAUUGCAAAAAAUGGACUGCGGCAGCGGUGAAGAUUUUUGGAUUCAAAUCUUAUUCUCUGAAUCUAGCCACCACGGACCGCAAUAAAUGGAUCGAGGCCGCAAUGGCUUCAUUGCUGCCGCAUAAAAUCAACAGAGGUCUGCGGUAUCUUGAAAACUUCCAAACUUCAGGCUCUCUGAAUCUCUUCUCCGUAGACCGCAACAAAUAGAUCGUAGCCGCGAUGAGGCUACCACGGCCACGAUGAAGCUACCAUGAUCCGCAUUGCUUGAAAUUCCAGGAUUGCAUCUUCUCUGAUCUUUUCCACAGCAGACCGUAAUAAAUGGACCGUGACCGCAGUGGGUCUAUUGCAGUCACAGUGGAUUUACUGUUGUAGCGGUGCUUUGACAUUCUUGGCACUUGUACAGGUUUCACUCUUUUUUGAGCUGGUUUUUGACUUCUUUGUCACUUUUUGACCAAACACUGCAAACAAGCACAGCAUGUAAUCUUUCGAGAUUACUUGUAUACACUUUAAUCCAAAACUCAAGCAAAAAGCAGUAUAAAAUAGACUAGAACCCCUAGUUAUCAAUGCACCCGAUAGCCGAAAUGAUGACAGCCGCAUCAACAUCAAAGUUAUACUCUAACAAUCGUGGUGCCUCUUUGAGUCCCAUAGAUCUAUUGAAGAUGUUCUUGCUCAUGAGUCCCCGUGAGCUUAAACUUCGAUCAUUUCUUCUUUCAUUUCAUACAGAGUUUCGCCCAGAUCUGUUGUUCCUAUGGUCUCCAUUAUAUGGCUGAUAUCGAUCUAUAUUUGACCUUGCUUCUCGAUCAAUAUCCCUAUUAAUUCUAUCGACGGGUCUGCUAGGGUAAACGGACCCAGAAGAAGCCCCUAGUUGAUCAUCCUCGACUCUGAUCUUCGACUGAUAUCGAUUGUACACAUCGGCCUAAGUGACAUCUGGUAUUCGAUCAAAUUCAUCUUCAACUGAUGUGAAGCCACUGAACUUCGACCGUUGAGACCUAGAGUGAAAGCUCGAAUAGCCCAAUCAUCGGCGGCCGAUGGCAAGUCCAUCUGUUCCAUUUGGAAUCGAGACACGAAUUCUUUGAGCAUCUCGUUGUCCUUCUACCUUACCUUGAAAAGGCCCGACUUCCUGGUUUCGACCUUGAUGGCCUCGGUGUGUGCCUUGAAGAAAGAAUCUGCAAGCAUAACAAUCGAGUCAAUAGAAUUAGGUAAUAAAUUAUGAUAUCAUAUCAUAGCACCCUUCGAUAGAGUCUCCCCGAAUUUCUUUAGCAAGACAGAUUCGAUCUUGUCAUCUUCCAAGUCAUUUUCUUUGAUAGCACACGUGUAGGAGGUGACGUGUUCAUUUGGAUCAGUUGUCCCAUUGUACUUAGGAAUAUCGGGCAUGCUGAGAUUCCUUGGUAUUGGCUUUGGAGCCACACUCGGGGGAAAAGGUUUUUGUACGAACUUUUUGGAAUCCAGACCUUUCAAUAUUGGUAGUGCCAGCGGGAUUUGUUCGACCCUGGAGUUAUAGGUUUCCACCUUCUUGUCGUUUUCCUCAAUCUUCUUUUCCCUUGUCUCGAUUCGCUCUGUCAGUUCUUCGAGCAUCUUCAUGAUAGAAGGAUUGGUCUCCGAUUCCUUCUCCUUUAAUUUCCUCGAAACCGGUUUGACCCUGUGUACGAUUUCCUGGGAUGGCUCAAGUUUGAACAUGCUUGGUGUGUGGUUAUGGUUUUGGAGCUCGGCUAUUGCUGCCUAUUGAUCCUGCAACAUUUUGAAGAUCACCCGCAGGCUGAUCCCGCCAUCUUCACCGCCACGUGCACUUUGAGUAGCUGAUUUGUCAUCCCCACGGAUGCUGCUUUGGGGAUCGAUGACCAAAUUUCCAUUGAUGACUACAUAUGAAUUGACGUCGAUUGGAUCUACAUCCAGAAUUCCAUCGAGGCCAACAAGGGGCACAUCGUUUGUUGGUGCAUGUUCUCAUUUUCGUCGUGGUGGUUGAGAUCAUUAUCAAUGUGUUGAGGUGCUGACUGGGAGUUUGACAUUUUUUAAUCCUGUAAUCAAAGAUACUUCAAAGAACAAUUGUAAAAUAGUAUGCAUUGCGAAAGUUUGUACCAGAUAGCCACCAUUAUCCUUAGCCCCACGGUGGGCACCAAACUUUUUACCCUAAAAUCGGAUAACAAUUAAAUUUAUACGCGGAUUUAAGGACACGUGAUAUAGCUUGGUACAAAUUAAGAAGAAUAAAUUAGUAUUGAUAUUGACAAUGAAAGAAAUAAUACAAACCACACAAAUUGAACAGCCUUGUCCCUCGAGUUCGGUUACCCUUGAACCAAAUAUGUUUCAACUUGCUUAUGAACAGAAUAACAAGAUAAUCAAAGCUAGAAAAUGACAAUAUAUUACUUAGUAUUGCGUGAAUAUAAUGCAUUUACAAAUGAUCAAACCCCCUUUAUAUAGUAGGGGAGUCUACUUUAGGUACAAUUCUAUAUGAGGUAAGAAAUCACAUGAUUGACUAAUUAAUCGACCUCUUCUUGAUACGUGCCGGGAUAUGCACCGUGAUCCUCGUCCGAUUACGGAUAUUUCGACUAUUCGUUAUUUGGCUCGGUAAGCUUCCCUCGAUCUCUAUCUUGUUCGGUCUCGACCAGGGCCGAUCUCGAUCUUGAUCGGUCUUAGGGCCACGAGCUUGGCAAUCUAACUUUGCAUCAUGGUUCGAUAUGAUAUGAGGCUAAACCUUGGCUUAUCGCGUUCCAGUCUCGAUUAGUCAUACAAAAAGGGCAAGUCCGAUUUCGACCGUAUACAUAUUUUAUUUUUUUUCUUUUAGUUAUUCAUUUUUAAUAUAUUUAGCUACGAGCAUAACGCGUGCUUCAAAAACUAAACACUUAACAUUUUUAUGAAACAAAAAUAUUAUUCAAACUAAUAUGUGUAUAAGAUUUUCCUAGUAUAAGAGAGCAUAAGUGUUUGAUUAAAAUAUACUCCUGAGAUAUAUCCUUAACUAAGUCAUAUUAUAGGAGUGACAAUAUAAUUUGGUAUGUAGAAUGAGUCUAAAUAAAUUUUUCCAAUAACUUCAAAGUUAAGAAUAUCCUAGUGCAUCAAUGCUGGUGCAGGUACAUUUUUUCUGUAUGACGUGCUAAAAUUCAAAAGGCAAUAUGAGUUUUUACGCUAGCAUUUGAACAUAGAUUAGUUGAAACUUGAAAAAACGAGUUUUGAAAAAUAAUUUUGAAAGUUAAACUUGUGUUUAGACAUGAAUUUACAUGAAAAAAUAUUGAAGUUCUGUGAGUUGAAGAUAAAUUUUCACCCAAAAAUAGUGGCCCAAACUAGUUUUUGGAACUUGAAAAUUUAUCUUCAGAUUUUUUUCAAAAUUUGAACAAAUAAUUUUUUUCUUAUUUUAUAUGACACAUUUUCAUUUUUAUUAUGCAUAAAAUAGAUUUUUUUAUAUUUAGAAAUACUGUAUCUUAAAAGUUUUUGUUUUAUUCUUGAGAUAAAUUAUAGUAAUUACAAAUAUUUAAGGCUGGUUUUAGACCACAAAUUUUAAUUUUUUUUAAACUUCUAAAACUAUUUAUAUAGUCAAAUUAUAUCACAUAAAUUGAGCUAUAGUGAGUACUACUUAUCACUCUUUGUUUCACAAAAAGUAUUAACUCUUCGAAAAAUAUUAAUUUAGCUUCAUAUAUUUGUUCAGCUGGAUGAAAAUAUGGUAAGAGACAACCAUCCAUGAGAAUAAAUUACCGAGUCAAGAUUCAUCAUGAUUAAGUCUUUUGAAAUCAUUCAUCUAUCCCAUUUUAUUUGAUCUACUUUUAGUUUAUAUCUGUCUUAACAAACUUUAUUAAAUUGAGUGACAUGAGUCAAAACUUUCAAAUAAGUAAGGGGUCGUUUGGUAUGAGGUAUAAAAAGGUAUAGUGCUGGUAUAAAAAUUAAUACCAUUUUAAUAUUUAAGUUUGGUUAUCAUACUUGGUAUAAGUUAUCCCGUGAUUAAAAUUAGUACUGAGAUAACUUAUACCUUAUAGAGGGUGGGGUAAUUAAUACCGGGAUAAUUUAUACCUUCUUCUUAUAAAUUAUGCAAUUGUUAGUUUUAAUACAACAAACCAAACAAUGGAUAAAAAAUAACCAGGAUAACUAAUCCCAUCAUAACUAAUCCAAGCAUAAAUUAUCCCGGCACAAGUAGUAUUCAAACCAAACGACCCCUAAGGGUUCGUUCGGUAUGAGAUAUAAGUAGGUAUACCGGUGGUAUAAAAAUUUAACAUCACCUUAAUACUAUGUUUGAUUAGCAAACAUAAGUUAUCCCAGUGAUAAUUUUAAUACCGGGAUAACUUAUACCUUAUAGAGGGUGAGGUAAUUAGCACUGGUAUAACUUAUACCUUCUUCUUAGAAAUUAUGCAAUUGUCAUUAUUAAUACAACAUGCCAAAUGGUGAAUAAACAACAAUCCCUGUAUAAUUUAUCCCAACAUAACUUCUACUGGCAUAACUUAUACCAACAUAAUCCGUAUUCCAACCAAACGACCCCUAAGUGAACACCCAGUGAAGGUAAACUUUUAUCAAUUUAUAAUGCUUUCUAAAUGAAAGGCUUAUAGGAAAUCUUUGCUCAUCUAGGCUAGUGUCUCAAUACUAAUAUUAUUUGUGUAGUUUAAUUGAUUUUAUAAAGAAAACCGUACACUUUUCAUACUAAUUGUUUACUGUAAAAAUGGUAAUAACAAUUAAAUUUGUUAAUGGGACUCUGAAAAUAUGUGAUCUGCUUUUAUGCUAGCUGUUAAGCAGUUGAUAUUGUAUAUGUGCGACUUAGAAACGAAAUGACAGUUAAGGGUAGAAUGAUAAUCAAACCGAUAGGCAAACAAUCGGGGCCUCGAGCUUGUCGAUUCGGGGGCCUCGAGGUCGAUUCCAGAGCUCGGUUGUGAGCUAUCCGGGGUAAUCCUGGUAGGGGUAGCAGUUAUGAUAAAAUUAGUGAAGGCUCUUUAUGGCCAAUGACAAGCAAUAAAUGAUGAACAAUAAAUGAAAAUAAUAAUAUCAAGAGAGUAUAUUAGAGAGCAAAGAGAAUGUUCUUGUAUAUUUUAUGUGGAGCAGCUGAAGCAACAUAACCUUACAAAAUGACAAUGAUCCCCUUUAUAUAGGAGGAAAAUUCAAACAUAGUACAAAAUGUAUUAAUGACAAAGAUACAGAGAUGGGACAACCAGAUGACACCCUGAUUUGGGUUUAGAGUAAUCCACUAGGCUCUGUCAGUCUUAGUCAUGUGCCUUGGGAACUCGCCAUUUCUAUCAUAGACGUGAUCAACAUUGUCCCAAGGUCGGGCGUCAAUGAAUCGUGAAGGAGGAAACUCGACCAUGGUCUUGUAGCAUCGAGACUUCGAGAUGAUGUUCUGAGGUGCCUCGAUGACGAGGAAUUGGACCCUCCAAUUUCGCCGUAUACAGAUAGUCCCCGCAUUUCUUAGAGAAGAGCGAUAAGAAACGAUUUUGACAUCCAACUCUUCGGCCUUCCUGUGAUGAUGUCAUACCGAGGACGCAAGCCUCCGUGAUAGCCGAAAACGUCCCGCCAUUUUGCUUCUCCAAAAUCAUUCAAUGUGUUACGAUUUAUCGUUCAUCAAAGCUAUAACGUCGCUACCGAUUCAGCUCCUAAGGAAGCAUUAAUUGUGCCUGCCGUUACGUCUUUCGAAUAUAAUAAUGGCAUCGUCAGUUACGCUAUCGCCCUUCCUAUAAAUGGGAGCCACCUCGGAUCAACCUUUUAUCCAAGUUCCUUCCCAUAUCUAUCCAUUCUUCUCUUCUUACCAUCCUUAUCCAUUGUCGUUCGCCAUGUUUGAGGCCCAUGGCCUUACGAUUGUAUGGCGGCGCUUCUAUCAGCCAUGCCAAGGCCUAUCUCCUAGAUUUUCCUCAGUCGAGCAAGAUUACACCGUUUCGUUAUUGUUGUUGUUAUUAUUCUUAUUACUGUCAUUGGAUCGGGACGACAAAGUAGGAGGCCGAUUUCUCCAGGUUCGGGAAAAUAUUUGGACUCUACACCGCUGCUUAGGGGGGGUGUUCAAACUCUAUACCACUGCUCACCUCCCCCAACUAUCCGGUACGGUGCCUCACUCCUUUUGCUUUCCAUGGGGUGAGGUGGUACUAUCUACUAACUGUUGCAUCCCGCAUUGGUGUGACGUCUCAAGAAGUGGCUUCGUAAUAGUAGUGCUGGCGAGAUCCAUACUAGAUAGAUUUUUCACCCAGCCACUUCUUCAUUCCUUUCUGCUUCUUCUGCGUCAUUUUUCUCUUCUCCACCGCUUUCCUCUUCUUUAUCUCCCCUUUUGAAGAUGCCAUUCUGAGGGUCGAGAUAAGACUCCUGAGGGGAUGGCUCUUGGAAGAUAUUUCUUUGAGGACGUAUGCCCAAGGAGAUGAUGCCCGAAGAUGAUGCUGCCGAGGAUGCACCUUUAAGAGUAGGCUCGGCUCUUAGGCUUUUACUAUAUGUAUACCCUUUUGCUUCUUUGUUUUUGUGUAAGGACCCCUCGUGGGCUUUUGUAAUUAUAUGUAAGGACCCCUCGCAGGCUGUUGUAACCAAAUGUUUAUGAAUACAAAGAUGUUCCUUCAAUUUUGUCUUCGGUGCUUGCUAUACUCCUUUUCAUUUAUGUUUAUGGAGAUUCCGUAUGCAUGACUCUGUCGGGUACUAGCUAUAUCGAACCCGGAUUUGAGUAUUUUUUCUGACCUUUGGCCUAUUAAAACGGCUUCCUGUGGAAUCCUUUGCUGUUCCUCAGGCCAAGCUUGGAUUGGUCCGAUAAGCUCGGGUCGUCGGGACCCUUACUUCAAGUAGAAUGGAAGUAAUGCCUCGAGACUUAAGACUAUGAUUUGUCACUUGGACCUUGCGGUAAUCUUUGAGGGGAAAUUUACUUGGAGGUCCAAUGAUAGGGACUGCCUUUAAGUUUUUGAGAAUAGUUCCCAACUGAGGGUCCGUUCAAAUCCGGAUCACCUGGGAACCUGCUUUGAACAUAGCAUAAGCAUCCCUAAGGCAUAGUAGGUAGAUCCCGAACGAGGUUUUACCCGAAUUUAGAUGGCAUCCCGUGAUCGAGUCCAUAUGGGUGGAGCUUAAAUGCUUAUUUCCUUAGAGCCUAACUUCUUUUUGAUGGAGGUUCUCGAGGUCAGGUACCACCUCGGGACUGGCGAUGAUGUAGAUGGCUUCUUAGAGCCUAACUUCUUUUGCUGGAGGUCCUCGAGGUCGGGUACCACCUCGAGACUAGCAACGAUGUCGUUGGCCUCUUGGAGCCCAACUCUUUUUUCUUUUUGAAGGGAGUCCUCGAGGUCGGGUACCACCUCGGGACUAGAGAUGAUGCCGUUGGCUUCUCAAAGCCUAACCUUCUUUUUAAUGGAGGUUCUCGAGGUCGGGUACCAUCCUCGAGACUGGCGAUGAUGUUGUUGGCCUCUUGGAGCCCAACUCUUUUUUUCUUUUUGACGGGAGUCCUCGAGGUAGGGCACCACCUCGGAACUGGCGAUGAUUCCUUUGGCUUCUCAUAGCCUAACAUUCAUUUUUAUGGAGGGUCUUGAGGUCAGGUACCAUCCUCGAGACUGGCAACAAUGUCGUUGGCCUCUUGGAGCCCAACUCUUUUUUUCUUUUUGAGGGGAGUCCUCGAGGUCCGGUACCACCUCGGGAUUGGCGAUGAUGUCGUUGGCUUCUUAGAGUCUAACCUUCUUUUUUAUGGAGUUUCUCGAGGUCGGGUACUACCUCGAGACUGGCGACGAUUCCGUUAGCCUUCUAGGUAGGCGGGUCAUUGCCGUUUUUUUCAUAUAUAGGGUCGUUUCUGCCCCUUUGAAGAUCCCAUCAUUUUAAGCAGUUACCUUUCUUUUUACGAUUUUUGUUACUUCAGUACUAACGUACUUGCACAAAUUCCUGCUCUAGUUCUUUGAUUUUGCCACCACCAUGACUGCUACAUCGGGGGUCUGUCCGGUAGAGAAGGGAGAGUUCUGCCUCCAAUAUUCAGGGCUAAUGAGAGCGUACCUUAAAGAUUGCUUCUUUGAUAGGAUAAGAAUACCUUGGGUUAGUGAGAAAAGACUACGGAUGGGGGGAGGCAGUAGUGUUACAGAUACUUUCACCAGAUGAAGGCAUCACGGAUCGCGCUAAUGGGUUCCUGAAUGUGUACACGUAUCCUUUCAUAAUGGGCCCCCUUGAUAGGGUUGUGCUCGACUUCUAUUUAAAGUUUCGGGUUACCUUGGUGCAUAUCCAUCCGUCAUUUUGGCAAAUAACGUUGAGGAUAAGAUUUUUCGUGGAGAGAACAGGGCUUAAAUUUACGCUUAGUCACGUUAUCAGGCUGUACCAGCCCUUUCACCAUCGGGGUCUGCUAACCUUGGAAUGCCGAUCGGCCACGCCCUUCGUCAUCGAUGAUCAGGAAGACAGAUAUCGGGAGCGGAUGGGUCGAUUCGUCCAAGUUUGGACCACUGACAUUAUCCCUGUGGAGGUUAUACCAUUCCCUGAGGAAUGGAACUAUACACGUAAGUGGUGCACUCCGUGCCUUCUUACUUUUGCUUAUGGCGAAGGCUGGUUUUGUGAUCAUGCCUCUUUUUCUUUUUCUGUAGCGGUUUCGUAGGCACCGAGCAACGUUCCUGAUUUGCCGGAUUGGGUUCGAAAGUUGGCGACUCACUCGACUCGUCAUGAGCGCUAAUGGCGAGCUUUGUCCCGGGGCCAAUGGGAAGCUAAAAAUCAUAGUGCGUGUUAUGCUAUUUUUUCCUUUCCCUUCCUUCACUUGGAGAGGCAUUUUCCCUUUCUGUGUAUUAAUCUUGUUGUUGUAGGCAUCGGAGGGCCUUCCGAGGCGAGGCAGCGCUCUUUUGUAGAGGGGGAAGGGUUUCUAGCUUUUGGGCUAAAGAACGAUAAUAAUAAGCGGGAGAUGCCUUCACAGGGCGAUGGCGCUCAAAGCAAGGCGAAACUGGAUCGGGGCUUCGGAGCGGAAGCAUCAUUUGAACCUGCCACUCUCGUGGUUCCUGGCUUUGGGAUGGUGGUUUCUCCAUUUCUGUCGCCUACUUUUUCCGUUGACAGCACUUCGAGGGAUACUAGAAACCCGGGGUCGUAUACUUCGAGCGACCAUGUCUCGACCGGAGUCAGUUCUUUCAGGGUUAAGGGAACUAGGUUAGCAAAUAUGCGCUCGACUUUUGAGGAAGCUCGGCGGCUUCACUUCGUGGUAAGUUUCGGCAUAGGCCUUUUGAGUUUCACAUUUUCCCUUCUUUAUUGGGUUUUCUUCUAAAGGACUUCGGCGAUCUUAAGUCCAGGUUGCGGAAAGCUCUGGAUGAGGAGAGAUCCCUUAGGCUCUUUACGAUAAAAAGGAAGUGAGCCGGAGCUCAAAUUAUGAGAGCUACUUAAAGGAGCAGGUAAUUUUCUGUCCUAGGUGAGUGUGCGUUUCGUCUUCUCAUUUCUGGGGCUGAUAUCUCGUUUAUCUCAGUUGUAGAAAAACACAUAGGCCCGGAGCACCUUCGGAGUGAAGUUGGCCAAGCCAAACGCGAGCAUGAUGAGCUAAGAGAUCAAGCGGAAGUCUAGGCUUUAGAGGGGAAGAGUGCUCUGGCCAAAGUUCCUUCCUUUGAGGAUCAACUUCGAUUAGCUCGUGAUAAUGCUUUGGUUCAAAUGGAAAUGAUUACAAAGCUCGAGUCCGAGCUUUUGAAGGUCAGGGCUGAGAUCGUUGAUGCCCAGUCUGAAGCCAUAAUGAACCGAACCAAGGCUGACUAGGAGGUGGCGAUCUAUUUAAAGGACGUUACCGAUGCCCAAGCUGAGCUGAGAAUGGUCCUCGACCGUGAAGAGAGGACCAAAGAAUAUGCUCGAUGCAAGUCUCGAAGAAAGAUUCUCGAGGAGAUCCGUGCUAGGGGUUUUGUCCUUUCGGAAGAGUUGGCGCGAGCGAGGGCAGAUGAGCGUGAUGCUUCGAGACUUCUGUCCGAUACUGAAGAUGAGGCCGGCAGGCCGUAGCCCUCUUGGGAGGGAGGCGUAGAUUUUGCCAUAUGUAUAUAGCAUUUUCAAAGCAUAUUUGUAUAUGGAGAUCGUAUUUUUUCGUAUAUGUGUAUAAAAGAAAACCUUGCGGCUUUAUUUCUUCUAUAUCGAAUUUGGCCAAGUGACUAGUAUUUGAUUUGGUAGGAAUCCUUAGAUUCGUGAUAGGUCCCUGAGGCUCGUUAGGCUAUCCCGUAGGCUUUUGCGCGCUUGGUCUAUGUGACUUUUUUCAUUUACUAUUUUGGGUUCAGUCUCCGAGUCGGGUUUCAACUCGAGCUCAUUCGACCCUCAAGCUUUGCAUUUGUGUGGGCUGGCGACAAUGACUCUUAUGCCUUGGGUUGAAGCGACCUUUUAGUGUAAGCUGGCGAUAAUGGCUCUUAUGCCUUGGGUCGAAGUGACCUUUUAGUGUAAGCUGGCGACAAUGGCUCUUAUGCGUUGGUCGAAGCAAUCUUUUUAGUGUAAGCUGGCGACAAUGGCUCUUACGCCUUAGGCUAAUGCGGUCUUUUAGUGUAAGCUGGCAACAAUGGCUCUUAUGCUUUGGGUCGAAGCGACCUUUUGGUGUAAGCUGGCAUUUGAUCUCUUAUGCUUUUGCCCAGGGGCAUUUUUAGUUAAAUAUUUUGGGUUCAGCCUCCGAAUCGGGUUUCGACUUGAGCUCAUUCGACCCUCAAGUUUUCGAAUUUGUGUGGGCUGGCGACAAUGGAUCUUACGCCUUGGGCCGAUGCGGCCUUUUAUGUGGGCUAGUGACGAUGGCUUUUAUGCUUUGGGUCGAAGCGACCUUUUAUUGGCUUUAUUUUUCCCUCGUUAAGGACUUUUUGAAAUAAUUUUUGUCGGACUCUUCUACAGUUCGGGAAGAACAUCGAUUAUGAGUCAUUUUGUGGCGAUGAUCGAGCACCUCGGGAGGUUUGGCUCGGAGGCUGAGUAUCUCGAAGCCGUGAUUUGGAGCUGACGUGGUCAAAGCUCUUUUGCCUAUGACGAGGGUAGCCUAUUUAACCAAUUGGUUUCGAAGUUGAUUCGAAUUAUUUGAAGGCCUGUGAUUUUGUAGCGACGGUCGGGCAUCCCCGAGUCGCGUUAGUUUGGCCGGUACAGCCUUAUGACCAUAGUUAUUUGUGUUUGGUCGGAGCCAUUUUUGAUCCAAAUGAAGUAGUUUAGGCGUCUAUAUUGAGGGUAUGCCUUUUAGGGGUCUUACAAGUUUGAUAUAUAGCCUUAACUUUGGGAUCGGGUUUAUGCCUUUAGUAAGGUCUUACAAAAUUUUCAUGCCUUUGAGGUCUUACAGUUUUUAGAUACUUGGUACAAGUAUGGUUCAUGCCUUGCUUGAGGUCUUACAGAUACUGUUGCUGCCUCAUUACAGUUUAAUGAAUGGUAAUUGGCGACAGUUCCUGAGUCAUCGAGGGUGUUCUGGCUCGGGAGCCAUUACUCGUAAACUUUGUAUUGCCUCAUUGAGGGCUUACGAUUUCGGAGAUUCCGACCCUGAGGUCAUGCAAUUUUUGAGAUUUCGACGCCGGUUCCCGAGUGUUCGGGGCACUUUCGGCCUUGGAGAUGUUUUGUGAUUUUCAUGUUGCCUCGUUGAGGGCUUAUGAGUUUGGAGUCUCGACCCGGAGGUCAUUCAGGUGUUGAAUUGUGGAUGCCAGUCCCCGAGUGUUCGGAUCGUUUUCGAUGGAGGAGUCGUUAUUGCAAGAAUGCUGGGUUGCUCUUGGAGUGUGAGAUGUUUUGAUAAAGGUGUUCUUCGAUUACUUGGCAUAAGUAUACAUUUUUUUGCCGUUGGGGGCCCGGCUAUACGGACACGGUUCGUUCGACCGUUUGGCCCGGUACAUCGUUUUCCUAUUUGGGACCCCAUUUGGCGUUUCUUAGUUCUUCCGAGUGGAUGACCUUACGGAAGGGGGGGAUACCCUCCAGUGUUCGAGGUUGAUUGCAAAAGAAACCUUGAAUACUUGUCGAGUCUUUCUCAGGUAGCAUGUGGAUGUUGCCUCGUUAAAAACCUUGCCGGUAAAACCCUUUUCGGGAUAAAAAAAUCGGUCGAAGGAAAAGAGUGCAACAGAUGCUUUAAAACCUUAAGGUCUUCGGGCUGGGUUAGCGCUUUGACUGCUUUUAUCGAGCGCCUGCAUAAGGGUUAGUACGAAAUAUAAAAUGAAAAGGGAGAUGGUUAUACCUUAGCGUGGGAUGUGACGGCGAUGUUUUGAGGUCCGAAAUGUCCCUGUCGUUUGUAAUGAGGACAUGGUACGGUCCUCUACUAUGUUUAAUUGGGCUUAACCGAAGAUGUAGUUUGAUUACCCUUUGGCUCUUUUGUGAGUGGAGGUAUUGGUGCUGGUGCCGUAUUGUGCACUGCGAACAUUUUCCUCGCCGCAUGUUGUUCCCCGUAGACGGUUUUAAUCCCAUCCUUUGUCGGGUAUUUCAUCAUUUGGUGGAGGAUGGAUGGUACUGCUCUCAUGCAGUAUAUCCAUGGUCGUCCGAACAAGGUGUUGUACCUCAUGUCGCCUUCGAUGACAUGAAAUUUUACAUUUUGGGUGGUACCGGCCACGUCGACUGAAAGGAUGAUUUCUCCUUUCGUUGUUUCACUUGCCAUAUUGAAUCCGUUGAGGACUCGAGUGGCGGGCACUGUAGACAUGUGAUUUUUGUCUCUCCCCAAGAUUUUCCACAUUUUAGCGUAAAAUAUUUAAUUUAGGCCUAAUAUCGUCAUUUCAACUAAUUUUGACUCUUUUACUUUAUUUUAUUACAAGAAAAGAAAAUUACAAAAAAAUAGUUUCAUUAAUGUUUUAUAGUCACUUUUAAUCUUGAAAAAUACCAAAAAUAGUUUUGUUUUAACGGUCAGUCUUAUUUUAAUAAUUAUUUUAUUUAAGUAGGAUUAAUUAAUAAAUGAGAUCGUAUUUUUAGUCUCGUUCGCGGGAAAAGAAUAAAAAUUUGGGCUCGAACAACCUAUUUUUAGGCCUAAUUUUUGGACCUAACUCAUAACAACUCAAGCCCAAUACCCACUAAACUAACCCUAAUUUAUUUAUAUCUAUCUAUAAUAAUAAUAAUAAUAUAUUAAAAAUAAGAAGCCCAUAACUUAAAAGUUGAAUUACUAAAAUAUCCUUUUUAUUAUUUACCUAAAUAACCUAUUAAAUAUUUUUGUUUUAAAAACUAACAGCUACACAUGUGCUUCGUAGUUCGUACCUAUUUUUAAGAAACCGAACCGUCACAACCAUCAAUCGUGAGCGAAAAGGCACCUUGUUGCGACAGUUAAAAUAUACUACUACUAUUUUAACACCGCGCCUUGAAAUUAUUGUUAUAUUUGCGUGAAGACCCAAACACUAAUUUGUAUCUUGGAAGUUGGAAGUUCAUCAACUUAAUUUGUAUUUUUCUUGUGCAUAUAGUAUUUUUUGGGUUCCCAUAGGUAUUGUCAAUAUUCAUGUGUUCCUUUCUUUAAAUUAUGCAUUUCAGAUUUAACAUAUUAUGAGAAAUAUGGAGGUCAGCAUUGUUCAAUACCUGUAGAAUGACAAAUUUCUAAGACAGAAAAUUGGAAUCCUAAUACUAAUCAAAGCUUUAUCAUAUUAAAAAAAAAUUACAGUGUGAUAAAUUACAUUCUAUUACAUUAUUUUUAUUAAUGACUUUGUGCACAUUUUCUUAUGGUUUCCUUUGUAGGUUAAUUUCUCAAGGGGCAAAACGAUCUUAUUGUUUCCUAAGGACUGCACAUUUUAAUUUUUUAUUGUAAAUUGAUUUUGAUAUACAUGUCAAUAUUUUUCUUUGCAAUUUUUUUCCCCCUAAUGGAAGAUAUAUUUUAACAUAAAGUACCAUAUAUUUGAUACCAUGAACGCGAAAAUGAAGAGAAUACCAAGUAGUAGAAAAAAAAAAAUCCAGAAGAAGUGAAGAUAGAUGAUAUAUUAUGGGUGACUUAUGCUUGCAGAUAGACGGUUCAACAUUUUUACAGCAUGCAUUCUUUUUUCAUGUGUAUAAUAUAAUAUAAUAAAUUAGUUAAUGUUUAUGUGUAAAAUGCAUAUUAUAGGUUCAAUAUAAAGAUUACAGAUAUAUUAUAAAUAAAUUAAAAUGAGUCUUAGUAUUGUUCUUGCUAACAAUGCUAUAAGAGAGUGGAUAUUAUAAAUAAUAGUACAACUUGUGACUACAAUUGUAAUAUACAAAAUGUUGAUUACGAAUGGGCGUGAGAUCUUUUCCUAUUUCAUGGACAAUGUCGUAUUCGUGUUAUACUUUUUGAUAUUCCAAAAUAUUUUUUAGGUUGCAAUGCUAAAAAAAAUACAUUCAACCAAACUUUGAGAAGGCCAGAACAUUAUUAAUAUAUAUAUGUAUGUAUUUAUAUCUUAUUAUUUUAAUCAAAGGAAGACAAAUUGAAUGCAUUUUUUAACAUCAAUUAAUUUCUAGCAUAUGAGUUAGUUUUAAUGCUGCAUGAAGAGGAAUAUAAGUACUAUGACAAGUUGGUGUUAAGCAAAAAUGAAUAAUUCACUUUCUUGUCAAGAUUUAUAAGAAAAGUGAAAAUUCAUGAAGGUUUAAUUGCUCAAGAGAUACAUGAAUUUAAAGAUGUUGAUGAAAUAAACCAUAAACUAGUUUAAUUUUUGAGAUUAUAUUUGUCGAAAAAGAUUAUUAUUGGUGUGUCAAUUUAAAUAUCAAUUUUACUAUUUUUCUUCAUAUAAAGCAACUUGUGCAAACAUAAAUAAAUUUUACAUAAAUAUUAUUUACAAAUUGGUGAUAUGUUAUUAUAAAUCUGAUGUCUCUUGAGAGAAGCAUACCGUAUUAAUAUUUUAUGCAUUAUGCUCGACAAAAAAAAUAUAUGAACAAUUUGAAUUUUGUGAUCUACAUUGGUCUUGAAUUUUAGUCUUAUUUAUUUAAAUAAAUUUCACUUAGUUAAAUAGAAAGAAAAGGAAAUCGCUUCACCAUGAAAGGUAAUGUGAAGAAAGGACCAUGGUAAUCCGAGGAAGAUAUUAAGCUCCAAAAGUUCAUUGAAGAAGAAGAAAUUGAAUACUUUGGAAUAGUACAUAGAACAUAUAGAACUUUAACCUAAAUUUUAUCUUACUUGAUUACCUAAUUUUCAUUCGGUAGAUAAAAAUGACUCAUUAUAUAAUUCAAUUUUUCAUAUCCACCAAUGAGAUUAUUUGAAUUCUAACACUUAUCAUCAAUAUAAAAAUAAAUAUUACUUAUAAAUGUAUAUGAUGAAACUGAAGAUUUAUGCAUGACAUAUACUAAACUAGAAAUAGUGAGGCUUGAAUAUUGCAUGAAAGACAAUCAACUUUGAAAAGACGAUUAUGCCAAGCCAAUUGAUAUUAGUAUGAAUGAAGGAUAUAAAAAAAGAUCACAAAUGGCUAGAAGAAAGAAAUAGAUUUGGUCGAAGAGUACGUUUUUCGACUCUAUUCAUAAAAGAACUCAAGAUUACACGAGAAUGCUAAUUUUUGGUACAUUUAAAUUUAUAAUUAUGAAUUAAAUUAAAUUAAAUAUUUUUAAAUAUAUCUGCAUUAACUAAUUUUUGGAAUAUUUAUUUUAAAAAAUAAUAUGAGUUUCACGUGAGGAGAAACUAGUACCCUUAUAAAGAAGCUAACGCCUAAGCAGCUAAAGAGACAAAAAAACAAUAUACUAGGGACUUAACGCAAAAAAUCAGAAUAAAAAAAGACCUAGAAAAGAUAGGCCGCUUCUUCUUCAAAAAAAAAAGAACAAAAAACGUAUGGACCAAGCGAGAAGAUCCUGAAGCUGCUGCAGAACGCAAAACGACCCCCACCCCCUUGAAACCUCAUCUCCUUCACACCACCCCAGCAGCCGGAACACAAACGACCCCCACCCCAUCGACUCGCCUGCUUCAACAACAACAGCCACCGGACCUCACGACUCACCCCAUCGCCGGAAACUCGCAUACACCGCCUGCAUCCAUCUCCCUCAACGCACACAGCCACACACGCACAGAAAUGAGAAACAGAGAGAAGGAGAGUAGAAGGGAGGCAGCGAGUUUCAGUCAAAAAUCGAGUGAACGUUAGCUCCGAGCUUGGGUGUCGAGUUUUUCGGUAUCGUUUCGAGGUUCCGUCCGCGUCUUUGUCCGUUAUUCAAGCUUCAAAACAGUGUUGUAAAGGUCCGUAUCUCCCACUAUCGCUCUGUUAAGAUAUUAUUUGUGAAUGUAUGAAUUUUAUUUAGCUUCAUGAAGGCUGAAACGG